RNAcentral lists this unclassified non-coding RNA (337 nucleotides) under soil metagenome. RNAcentral's name for it is "partial contains 5.8S ribosomal RNA, internal transcribed spacer 2, and large subunit ribosomal RNA". The stretch from base 1 to 120 matches the Rfam family "5.8S ribosomal RNA", at positions 35 to 154 of the family's 154-position model. The record is from RNAcentral.
GAUGAAGAACGUAGCGAAAUGCGAUAAGUAAUGUGAAUUGCAGAAUUCAGUGAAUCAUCGAAUCUUUGAACGCACAUUGCGCCCGGCAGUAUUCUGCCGGGCAUGCCUGUUCGAGCGUCAUUUCAACCAUCAAGCCCCCGGGCUUGUGUUGGGGACCUGCGGCUGCCGCAGGCCCUGAAAAGCAGUGGCGGGCUCGCUGUCACACCGAGCGUAGUAGAUUUUAUCUCGCUCUGGGCGUGCUGCGGGUUCCGGCCGUUAAACCACCCUUUUAACCCAAGGUUGACCUCGGAUCAGGUAGGAAGACCCGCUGAACUUAAGCAUAUCAAUAAGCGGAGGA